This is a long non-coding RNA of Cyprinus carpio (common carp), 1142 nucleotides long. RefSeq lists it as uncharacterized. The record is from RefSeq and is a predicted model, not a curated record. Lineage: Eukaryota; Metazoa; Chordata; Actinopteri; Cypriniformes; Cyprinidae.
CGGGACGAUAGAAAGACGAAAAUCCACCGCCAGGGAUCUCCAGCCAACCGUCGAACCAGCUGCAGCAGAGUCUUAUGACACGUUAAUAAUAUCUCACGCAGUUAUGGCACAGAAGUGAAAGGAAUAUAAAAACAGAGGGGCUGCCAAAGUCAAACUUAGAGAAAGAGGAAGAAACCAAGCUAAAAUAGGCAUUUGGUUUGCAGAAUACAAAAAAAGGUCAGUAAUUAUAUAUAUUAUUUUCAUUAUAAAAAUAUUUACUAUGUUUUUGAUUUAUACAGGGUUUUUCCAGGUUUUGCAAAGGUAAGACUUGAUAUUUUUUAAGACUCUUUAAGACCAAGUAAAGACAACACAUCGAUAUGAUCUCUAAAUGUAAGUGUCCUGUAUUAGCAAUGCUUCAAAGUUUGUAAAUACAACUUCCAAUGUGAUCAAAAAAAAAAAAAAUGUUGCGCUGUAUUUUUGUUUUCUAGUGCAAAUGUCUAAAGAGUCAUAAAUCAAGAUACAUUCACAAGUCUUGUUUUAUGAGAAAUUGAUCAAAAAGUGAGUUUAUAAUUACAACAAGAACAAAUAUCUGCCAGUGGGCUUUAGAUAAAUCAACUCAAUUCAAAGGGAAAAAAAGUUUUCAUACCCCAUUGAUAGAUGUUUCUUCUUGUUUUAAGCAUAAGCUCACAUAAUUGUUUUCAGUUUCUCCAAACCAAGACAUCAGAUGUUCAAUUUGCAUCUGAAGUAAAUGUAUCUUGAUUUAAGGACGCUAAUAUAUCUGUACAGGAAAAAAAUAAAAAUAAAAAAUCCAACAACACAAACACUGUUUUGCAUGCAAAAAUGUAGUGCACUGACUUUAUGAGUUUAGGCCUUAAAUUAAGACUCAAGACCAUUUUGAAAUGUGCAGAAACCCUGUUAUUGAACAUUACUGUUUUCAUGGAGCUUUUACUAAACAUCAUGACUUGACAGAUUAUUCUCCAGCAGGGGGCCGAAAACAUCCCCAUGCUGUUGUAAAGCUGUCCUUCUGUGAUAGCAUGGGAAAAAGGCAUGUGCAACCUGUAGUAGAAUUUGAGGAAAGUUUGAGAUGACAAGCCAUCAACCCUUAAAAACACGCAUAUACAAAACAAAUUAUUCUAAAAGAAUAAAGACUUUUAUUAAGCAUU